GACGAACGCUGGCGGCGUGCCUAAUACAUGCAAGUUGAGCGCUGAAGGUUGGUACUUGUACCAACUGGAUGAGCAGCGCACGGGUGAGUAACGCGUGGGGAAUCUGCCUUUGAGCGGGGGACAACAUUUGGAAACGAAUGCUAAUACCGCAUAAAAACUUUAAACACAAGUUUUAAGUUUGAAAGAUGCAAUUGCAUCACUCAAAGAUGAUCCCGCGUUGUAUUAGCUAGUUGGUGAGGUAAAGGCGCACCAAGGCGAUGAUACAUAGCCGACCUGAGAGGGUGAUCGGCCACAUUGGGACUGAGACACGGCCCAAACUCCUACGGGAGGCAGCAGUAGGGAAUCUUCGGCAAUGGACGAAAGUCUGACCGAGCAACGCCGCGUGAGUGAAGAAGGUUUUCGGAUCGUAAAACUCUGUUGGUAGAGAAGAACGUUGGUGAGAGUGGAAAGCUCAUCAAGUGACGGUAACUAACCAGAAAGGGACGGCUAACUACGUG
Molecule: ribosomal RNA, 497 nt
Filed under: uncultured bacterium
Lineage: Bacteria
Description: partial 16S ribosomal RNA
Rfam family: Bacterial small subunit ribosomal RNA
Source: RNAcentral